UAAACUAGGAUUAGAUACCCUAUUAUUAUAAAUGUUUAUUUUUAUACUGAAUUAUUAAUAGUUAUGUUCUUUAAAAUUAAAAAAUUUGGCGGUAUUUUAGUCUUUUCAGAGGAACCUGCCCUGUAAUUGAUAAUCCACGAUUAGGAAUACUUUAUUUAUUAAUUUACAUAUCGUCGUAGUUUGAAUAUUUUAUUAGAAUUAUAAUAUUCAAGAUUUUAUUUUAGAAAAUAUAUCAGAUCAAGGUGUAGUUUAUAUUAAAGAAGAGGUGGGUUACAAUAAAUUUAUUUUUGAAUAAAUUUUUUGAAAAAAUUUUGAAUUUGGAUUUGAAAGUAAUUUUUUGAAGUUUACUAAAAAUGAUCAUAGCUCUAAAAUAUGUACACAUCGCCCGUCGCUCUUAA
Molecule: ribosomal RNA, 398 nt
Filed under: Bruchidius fuligineus
Lineage: Eukaryota; Metazoa; Arthropoda; Insecta; Coleoptera; Chrysomelidae
Description: partial 12S ribosomal RNA
Source: RNAcentral